This 746-nucleotide long non-coding RNA is filed under the name Vigna radiata. RNAcentral describes it as "long non-coding RNA (VRAD_LNC014450)". The record is from RNAcentral. Lineage: Eukaryota; Viridiplantae; Streptophyta; Magnoliopsida; Fabales; Fabaceae.
UUUACUUUUGUCUUAAGUUAAUGAUAACUAAAAAGGUAACUCUAACUAUGUUUUUGAUUGCCAUGUUUUAGAAGUUACAAUUUUUGAAAAGAUGUAAUGGCAAUUUCUUGAAAAGAAAAGAUAAAUAUGAAACAUUCAAUAACAAAUAGAAAAAAAUGAAAGAUUAGAAAACGUCCCCUUAAAAGUUUGGAUUCUGUUAUGAGUGCAGAAGAAAUUGCCCUCAAUUACUCUUUCUUCUCUUUCUUCCCUUAAACGUCCUCUUCCAUUUCUUCCCUUUCAAUUUCUUCUUUCUCUUCCUCUUCUUUUCUCUUUUUCUCUCUUAUUUUCUCUUCUUCUCUUCUCUCUCUUUCUUCCUCUUCUCUUUCUUCCUCUUCUAUUUCUUCUUCUCUUCUUUUUCUCUUUAUAAUCUCUCAAUCCUAUAUUUGUGUCUUCCCAUUGCCUCUUAAGUUAUUCUAAAAACUCACUUUCUCCACAAGAAAACCCACUUAAAUUUUGAAUAAAUGACUUUCCUUAUCUAAUAAACUCUUUCAUAAGUUCUAAAUUUCUUUGAAUAUCUAGUUUCUUCUUAAACAAGCUUUUAAUUCUUUCUAAUCACAAAUUGAAGAUUUUCUACCUAUCAUGAUAUUGUCUUUCAUCCCACCAUUCUUUUGCAUGCUUUUCAAAUAUAGAAAUGUAUUCCUCGCUGGCCGACAUCCCCUAUUUUACUAUGUGAUAUCUCCUAAUGAGGUGCUACUAUAAUUAUACCG